GCGAAAACUUUACAAUGCUGGCAACAGCGAUAAGGGAACCUCGAGUGCCAGGUUACAAAUCUGGCUGUCGAGAUGCCUAAAAAGCAUUUCAUAGCAAGGGCCGGGCAAGACCGGUGCCAGCCGCCGCGGUAACACCGGCGGCUCGAGUGGUAACCGUUAUUAUUGGGUCUAAAGGGUCUGUAGCCGGCCGGAUAAGUCUCUUGAGAAAUCUGGCAGCUUAACUGUCAGGCUUUCAGGAGAUACUGUCUGGCUCGAGGCCGGGAGAGGUGAGAGGUACUUCAGGGGUAGGGGUGAAAUCUUGUAAUCCUUGAAGGACCACCAGUGGCGAAGGCGUCUCACCAGAACGGACCUUACGGCAAGGGACGAAAGCUAGGGGCACGAACA
Molecule: ribosomal RNA, 384 nt
Filed under: uncultured prokaryote
Description: bacterial SSU rRNA
Rfam family: Archaeal small subunit ribosomal RNA
Source: RNAcentral